Molecule: ribosomal RNA, 476 nt
Filed under: uncultured bacterium
Lineage: Bacteria
Description: partial 16S ribosomal RNA
Rfam family: Bacterial small subunit ribosomal RNA
Source: RNAcentral
GAUGAACGCUGGCGGCGUGCUUAACACAUGCAAGUCGAGCGAGUGAGUUCUUCGGAACGAUCUAGCGGCGGACGGGUGAGUAACACGUGGGCAACCUGCCUCAUAGAGGGGAAUAGCCUCCCGAAAGGGAGAUUAAUACCGCAUAAAAUUAUCGAGUGGCAUCACAUGAUAAUCAAAGGAGUAAUCCGCUAUGAGAUGGGCCCGCGGCGCAUUAGCUAGUUGGUGAGGUAACGGCGCACCAAGGCGACGAUGCGUAGCCGACCGGAGAGGGUGAGCGGCAACAUUGGGACUGAGACACGGCCCAGACUCCUACGGGAGGCAGCAGUGGGGAAUAUUGCACAAUGGGGGCAACCCUGAUGCAGCAACGCCGCGUGAGUGAUGAAGGUCUUCGGAUUGUAAAGCUCUGUCUUUGGGGACGAUAAUGACGGUACCCAAGGAGGAAGCCACGGCUAACUACGUGCCAGCCGCCGCGGUAA